Non-coding RNA from Camellia sinensis, 1296 nucleotides. The record is from RefSeq and is a predicted model, not a curated record. NCBI's taxonomy places the organism in Eukaryota, Viridiplantae, Streptophyta, Magnoliopsida, Ericales, Theaceae.
UUAUUAGCUUUACCUAUCUUUAUUUGUUUUUGUAUAGUAGUGCACCUCUUCCAAGAAUGCGUACCACACCUCGAAAUAGUUCUUUCUUCCUUGACAUAUGAAAAGAAAGAGCUGGGAGGUAGAUUACUGUUGUGGUCUUAUUAGCUACAUGCCUACAGAGAUUUACCUGAAAGAUGCAUUUACAUUUUUCAAGGCUAUUAGACAUGUUCUUCAAUUAGUGCAAUUUUUUACAACUCUAAGAAACAAAAAAUAGAAAUCUAAAUUUCUCAGGGAUAGCUUGGAGGUUUUUCUGACAUCUAAUUUUAUUGGCUGAUGUUAUGGAUUACAAACAUCUAAUUCCCUCCUUUCCCAAAAGAAGAUGAAAAAAGAAAAGAAAAGAAAAGAAAAGAAAGGACAUUGGACAUUAAGCGGUGGUUGCUACUUACUCAUUCUUCAGUUUGGGGAUCAAUAAUCAUUACUUAUGCCUGUGUGGUGGUAUUGGAUUCUAUACCUAUCUUCCCCAAUUACGGGACAAUAUACCAUCUGGCAAAGUCACCUGCAUAUUGGCUCUCCGUCUUGGUUAUAAUAGUCUUAGCAUUACUCCCUCGCUUUAUUUGGAAAGUUAUACAUUAAAAUUUUUGGCCUUCAGAUAUCCAGAUAGCUAGAGAAGCUGAGAUACUGAGAAAAGAACCUAAUUAUUUUGGGUCUAAGCCAGAUCUAGGUUCCAGUUAAUAUGUAUAUUAUUAACUGAUCCAAUUUGCUAUGACCUGGCCAGAGUUUGUCCAGCCAAAUGUGAAAUUUAAUGUUCAUAUGAAAGUGACACAAGCUGACAUCAUUCCAAUUGGAUUUAGCAUUUAAAAUGACACAAAGGGAAGAGAGGGAAGUGCAGAUCCGAGGGGGAAUGCAGAGCCGAAGGGAGGGUGAGGAUUUGGUUGAUACUAAUGAUAAGAUGGUCUGGUCGGGGAGGAAAAAUGGGGGGAAGAGUGGGAUAGAGUUCUUUUAGGAUUUUGUUGAUAUUUGUGGGGUUUACUAUUGGAACUAGCAUAUAAGCAGAAUCUGUAGUCGGAAUUUCAUCAAGGUAAAUGUCAGGAGUACCAGUAGAGAAAAACAAAAGUAUUAUAAUAGUUUCAAUUAGGAUGAAUUGAUAGAGACUAACUAGUUACUUCAUGGAUGCCUAUUGUACUUUCAAUUGUGCCUAAGUCCCUUAUUGUUAUCAUGGCAUCCAUCAGGCAGUCUUCCUACCACAUCAUGUAGCGGUAAUACAUCACAUGGCUCAGUUUCAGCUGGUACGUAUAAGUUUUUGACUUUUUAGUAGUA